This 450-nucleotide ribosomal RNA is filed under the name uncultured bacterium. RNAcentral's name for it is "partial 16S ribosomal RNA". It matches the Rfam family "Bacterial small subunit ribosomal RNA", at positions 355 to 796 of the family's 1533-position model. The record is from RNAcentral.
UGGGGAAUUUUGGACAAUGGGCGCAAGCCUGAUCCAGCAAUGCCGCGUGCAGGAUGAAGGCCUUCGGGUUGUAAACUGCUUUUGUACGGAACGAAAAGCCUCUCUCUAAUACAGGGGGGUGAUGACGGUACCGUAAGAAUAAGCACCGGCUAACUACGUGCCCGCAGCCGCGGUAAUACGUAGGGUGCGAGCGUUAAUCGGAAUUACUGGGCGUAAAGCGUGCGCAGGCGGUUUUGUAAGACAGUGGUGAAAUCCCCGGGCUCAACCUGGGAACUGCCAUUGUGACUGCAAGGCUGGAGUGCGGCAGAGGGGGAUGGAAUUCCGCGUGUAGCAGUGAAAUGCGUAGAUAUGCGGAGGAACACCGAUGGCGAAGGCCAAUCCCCUGGGCCUGCACUGACGCUCAUGCACGAAAGCGUGGGGAGCAAACAGGAUUAGAUACCCUGGUAGUCC